GUGAACCUGCGGAAGGAUCAUUACCGAGUUAGGGUCUUAUAGGCCCGACCUCCAACCCUUUGUUUACUAUACCAUGUUGCUUUGGCGGGCCCGCCUUUCAGGGCCGCCGGGGGCUUUCACGCUCCUGGUCAGUGCCCGCCAGUAGCCUUAUUAAAUUCUUUUAUAAUUAUGUUGUCUGAGUAUAAAUAUAAAUCGUUUAAAACUUUCAACAACGGAUCUCUUGGUUCUGGCAUCGAUGAAGAACGCAGCGAAAUGCGAUAAGUAAUGCGAAUUGCAGAAUUCAGUGAGUCAUCGAAUCUUUGAACGCAUAUUGCGCCCUUUGGUAUUCCGAAGGGCAUGCCUGUUCGAGCGUCAUUAUCAACCAUCAAGUCUGGCUUGUCGUUGGACCCCUUUGCGGCUGAAAUACGCGGCAGGUCCGAAAGAUAAUGACGGCGUCGUGUUUGACCCUAGAUGCAACGAGCUUUUUAAUAGCACGCAUUGAAGUGGUCGGCCGACCCGGUCUUUAACCAUCAUUUUCUAAGGUUGACCUCGGAUCAGGUAGGAAUACCCGCUGAACUUAAGCAUAUCAAUAAGCGGAGG
RNAcentral lists this ribosomal RNA (579 nucleotides) under uncultured fungus. RNAcentral describes it as "eukaryotic LSU rRNA". The stretch from base 201 to 354 matches the Rfam family "5.8S ribosomal RNA". The record is from RNAcentral. Lineage: Eukaryota; Fungi.